RNAcentral lists this ribosomal RNA (615 nucleotides) under Pichia membranifaciens. RNAcentral describes it as "eukaryotic LSU rRNA". It matches the Rfam family "Eukaryotic large subunit ribosomal RNA", at positions 1 to 648 of the family's 3401-position model. The record is from RNAcentral. Lineage: Eukaryota; Fungi; Ascomycota; Pichiomycetes; Pichiales; Pichiaceae.
CCUCAGAUCAGGUAGGAGUACCCGCUGAACUUAAGCAUAUCAAUAAGCGGAAAAGAAACCAACAGGGAUUGCCCCAGUAGCGGCGAGUGAAGCGGCAAGAGCUCAGAUUUGAAAUCGUGUCUUUGGCACGAGUUGUAGAGUGUAGGCGGGAGUCUUUGUGGAGCACGGUGUCCAAGUCCCUUGGAACAGGGCGCCUGAGAGGGUGAGAGCCCCGUGGGGUGCCGUGCGAAGCUGUGAGGCCCUGCUGACGAGUCGAGUUGUUUGGGAAUGCAGCUCCAAGUGGGUGGUAAAUUCCAUCUAAGGCUAAAUACUGGCGAGAGACCGAUAGCGAACAAGUACUGUGAAGGAAAGAUGAAAAGCACUUUGAAAAGAGAGUGAAACAGCACGUGAAAUUGUUGAAAGGGAAGGGUAUUGGGCCCGACAUGGGGAGUGCGCACCGCUGUCUCUUGUAGGCGGCGCUCUGGGCGCUCUCUGGGCCAGCAUCGGUUUUUGCUGCGGGAGAAUGGGUGCCGGAAAGUGGCUCUUCGGAGUGUUAUAGCCGGCGCCAGAUACCGCGUGCGGGGACCGAGGACUGCGGCUUCUGUCUCGGAUGCUGGCACAACGGCGCAAUACCGC